GUGCUUGCUUUGGCAGCACAUAGGCUAAAAUUGAAACAAUACAGAGAGAUUAGCAUGGCCCUUGCAUGAGGAUGGCACGCAAAUUCAUGAAGUGUUCCAUAUGUUU
Molecule: small nuclear RNA, 106 nt
Organism: Arvicola amphibius (Eurasian water vole)
Lineage: Eukaryota; Metazoa; Chordata; Mammalia; Rodentia; Cricetidae
Source: RefSeq, a predicted model, not a curated record